AUUCUUAGAGGACGGUGCGUGGGAGGCCUCUACCCACUCAUAUCAUCUUCAUCAUCCUGGUUCAACAAACAAGCAUAUGUCGUCACCAAGCCAUCUUCAGCAAAGUGGCAUAGUCGUUUAGGUCAUCCAUCCUCAGUAAUUGUUAGUUAUAUUCUUAGCAAAAAUAAACUCUCAUAUGAGUCCAGUGUUGAGUCAGUUUGUGGUCCAUGUCAACAGACCAAAAGUCAUCAGUUACCCUAUCCUAUUUCUACCAGUGUAUCCAAUGCUCCACUACAACUUAUAUUUUCAGAUGUAUGGGGACCAGCCCCCACUUCGCUUGGUAGAUUUUCCUAUUAUGUUAGUUUCAUUGAUGACUAUAGUAAAUUUACUUGA
This 372-nucleotide ribosomal RNA is filed under the name Triticum aestivum (bread wheat). Its description in RNAcentral is "partial small subunit ribosomal RNA". The record is from RNAcentral. Lineage: Eukaryota; Viridiplantae; Streptophyta; Magnoliopsida; Poales; Poaceae.